GCUAGUAAUGGCAGGUCAGCAUACUGCCGUGAAUACGUUCCCGGGCCUUGUACACACCGCCCGUCACACCAUGAGAGUUGGGGAUACCCAAGCCCGUGAGCCAACUGUAAAGAGGCAGCGGUCUAAGGUAGAAUCAAUGAUUGGGGUGAAGUCGUAACAAGGUAAC
Molecule: ribosomal RNA, 166 nt
Filed under: uncultured bacterium
Lineage: Bacteria
Description: partial 16S ribosomal RNA
Rfam family: Bacterial small subunit ribosomal RNA
Source: RNAcentral